Molecule: long non-coding RNA, 1034 nt
Organism: Setaria italica (foxtail millet)
Lineage: Eukaryota; Viridiplantae; Streptophyta; Magnoliopsida; Poales; Poaceae
Exons: 2
Source: RefSeq, a predicted model, not a curated record
CCCACGCGCCCCAGCCAUCGACACUCCAAAAUUACGCCCACUUCCCCCAUUGACCAUCUGCUUCUCCACCGAACACGCCGCUGCCGAAGACAUCCGCAGGUUCAGCGACCUCCGCUGCGCCCUUGUCCUCCACCCUCUGGCAUGGCUUCGACGGUAACCCGAUCUUCUACAACGCAGGACAACUAGCCCCCUCCCCUCUCGUCUGCAACUAUGCAUGCGGUGGCGACUUGCAACGUUGCGGCUGCCGUCAUGACUAGCGCUAGGCUUCCCCACCAAUCCCAAUCCGUUCAUAGAGAAGAAUGGAUUGUGAGGCGGCAGCGUCAGACGUUUAUGUAGUGCAAAAAGAUCCACAGGAACCCUGCUGCACAGCCACCUUAUGAUGUCCAUGCACACCCAAAGCGAGUUUCAGGCACAUCGUGCCUAGCCUGCAACUUUAAGUACUAUUCCGGUAUUCCUCAAUUUUUCUUCAACGCCUGAUGCUUGAAAUGUUUUUUCGCCGGUAAGUUCUUCCUUUCUCAGAUUUGCAUUUUGGGUUGGUGAGCCUUGAGCUUUAAAAUACACUUCAGUUUGCAGUCAUGUCCAAUUUUUAUCAUUGUGUGCAGCAUGACAGCAAACAAACACUUCACAUUGACUUAAAGUUAUCCGAUUGCUGGGUGGCAUGCAGCUCCUGGUGAUCCUGGAGAUGCCAAUGGCCUGUGCUGCAAUCAGGGUCUCGUCGGGCAGCAAGCACUGGAACUCGUACUACCACCACAUGAAUGAGGUCGGGAAAAUGAAAUGUGCUCCAAAGAGCUUCAGCUUAGAGGAAAAGCAAAGUGAACAAGAUAGUUGCAUUUUGGAUUGUUUUUAUUUGUCAUAUGCAUCACGAGAUACAAGUAAAUACAAAUAAUUGUCAUCCGAGCAGCCACUCGCUUUCUGCAUCACACUAAACCUAUGUUUGUGUUACAUCAUUCUAAGGCAUUGUUGUAAUUCCGGUAUAUUAACUUCUAGUAAACUGUACAUCAUCAUUUUAUAGUAACUCGAUCACGCCAUAUUAU